UGGGGAAUAUUGGGCAAUGGGCGAAAGCCUGACCCAGCAACGCCGCGUGAAGGAAGAAGGUUUUCGGAUUGUAAACUUCUGUCCUAAGUGACGAAGGAAGUGACGGUAGCUUAGGAGGAAGCCCCGGCUAACUACGUGCCAGCAGCCGCGGUAAUACGUAGGGGGCGAGCGUUGUCCGGAAUGACUGGGCGUAAAGGGCGUGUAGGCGGCCGAUUAAGUAUGGAGUGAAAUUCCAGCUUUCAAGGUUGGACUUGCUUUGUAGACUGGUUGGCUUGAGUGCGGAAGAGGUAAGUGGAAUUCCCAGUGUAGCGGUGAAAUGCGUAGAGAUUGGGAGGAACACCAGUGGCGAAGGCGACUUACUGGGCCGUAACUGACGCUGAGGCGCGAAAGCGUGGGGAGCGAACAGGAUUAGAUACCC
RNAcentral lists this ribosomal RNA (418 nucleotides) under uncultured bacterium. RNAcentral describes it as "bacterial SSU rRNA". It matches the Rfam family "Bacterial small subunit ribosomal RNA", at positions 355 to 787 of the family's 1533-position model. The record is from RNAcentral.